AUUGAACGCUGGCGGCAUGCUUUACACAUGCAAGUCGAACGGCAGCACGGGGGCAACCCUGGUGGCGAGUGGCGAACGGGUGAGUAAUGCAUCGGAACGUACCCGGGAGUGGGGGAUAACGUAGCGAAAGUUACGCUAAUACCGCAUAUUCUGUGAGCAGGCAAGUGGGGGACCGUAAGGCCUCACGCUUCUGGAGCGGCCGAUGUCGGAUUAGCUAGUUGGUGGGGUAAAGGCUUACCAAGGCGACGAUCCGUAGCGGGUCUGAGAGGAUGAUCCGCCACACUGGGACUGAGACACGGCCCAGACUCCUACGGGAGGCAGCAGUGGGGAAUUUUGGACAAUGGGCGCAAGCCUGAUCCAGCCAUGCCGCGUGAGUGAGGAAGGCCUUCGGGUUGUAAAGCUCUUUUGUUGGGGAAGAAAUGCUCUGGGUUAAUACCCUGGGGUGAUGACGGUACCCAAAGAAUAAGCACCGGCUAACUACGUGCCAGCCGCCGCGGUAA
Molecule: ribosomal RNA, 500 nt
Filed under: uncultured bacterium
Lineage: Bacteria
Description: partial 16S ribosomal RNA
Rfam family: Bacterial small subunit ribosomal RNA
Source: RNAcentral